UGGGGGAUAACGCCGGGAAACUGGCGCUAAUACCGCAUAAGCCCGAGAGGGGAAAGAUUUAUUGCCAGAGGAAUGGCCUAUAUCAGAUUAGAUAGUUGGUGAGGUAAAGGCUCACCAAGUCUGUGAUCUGUAGCUGAUCUGAGAGGAUGAUCAGCCACACUGGGACUGAUACACGGCCCAGACUCCUACGGGAGGCAGCAGUGGGGAAUAUUGGACAAUGGGGGAAA
Molecule: ribosomal RNA, 227 nt
Filed under: uncultured Pseudomonadota bacterium
Lineage: Bacteria; Pseudomonadati; Pseudomonadota
Description: uncultured proteobacterium partial 16S ribosomal RNA
Rfam family: Bacterial small subunit ribosomal RNA
Source: RNAcentral